This 681-nucleotide small RNA is filed under the name Lysipomia mitsyae. Its description in RNAcentral is "eukaryotic LSU rRNA". The stretch from base 267 to 422 matches the Rfam family "5.8S ribosomal RNA". Lineage: Eukaryota; Viridiplantae; Streptophyta; Magnoliopsida; Asterales; Campanulaceae. The record is from RNAcentral.
UUUCCGUAGGUGAACCUGCGGAAGGAUCAUUGUCGAAGCCUGCCCCUAAAGCAGAACGACCCGCGAACACGUUAUCCUCCCGUUCUUUAAGUCCGUCCCCGAACGGACUCGUUUGCUCGGUGGACGGCGCCUAACGAACCCCGGCGCGAACCGCGCCAAGGAAUACUUGACCGAAAGUCGGAACUGAUGAGGGAAUGAAAGUUUCGGGGAGCGGCUUCGCCUCUUCCUCUAGCUUCUCUCGACGUUCCGAGUGUGAAACACAAAACGACUCUCGACAACGGAUAUCUCGGCUCUCGCAUCGAUGAAGAACGUAGCAAAAUGCGAUACUUGGUGUGAAUUGCAGAAUCUCGUGAACCAUCGAGUCUUUGAACGCAAGUUGCGCCCGAAGCCUUUAGGCCGAGGGCACGUCUGCCUGGGCGUCACGCAUCGCGUCGCCCCCCCGCACGGGGGAGCGUAUAUUGGCCUCCCGUGCCCCCCGAGGGCGCGGCUGGCUCAAAACGGAGUCCCCGAAGAAGGACGCACGACGAGUGGUGGCUUGAUUUACCUCAACUCUCGUCGCGUCGUGCGCACGUCCCGCAUCGGUGCCGGCUCGAAACGACCCUGACGGUGCCCUUCGAUUUCGUAAUCGAUCGGCGCUUCGACCGCGACCCCAGGUCAGGCGGGACCACCCGCUGAGUUUAA